GAUGAACGCUGGCGGCGUGCCUAACACAUGCAAGUCGAGCGAACAGACGAGGAGCUCUCGCCUCUGACGGUAGCGGCGGACGGGUGAGUAACACGUGGAUAACCUACCUAUAAGACUGGGAUAACUUCGGGAAACCUGAUCCGAUACCGGAUCAUAUAUCGAACGGGAGGGAUCAAUAGUGCAAGACGGCUUGGCUGUUCCUUAUAGAUGAUUCCGCGCCGGAUUAGCUAGUUGGUAAGGUAACGGCUAACCAAGGCGACGAUGCGUAGCUGACCUGAGAGGAUGAUCAGCCACACUGGAACUGAGACACGGUCCAGACUCCUACGGGAGGCAGCAGUAGGGAAUCUUGCACAAUGGGCGAAAGCCUGACCGAGCCACGCCGCGUGAGUGAAGAAGGUCUUCGGAUCGUAAAGCUCUUUUAUUAGGGAAGAACAACUGUGUGAGAAUCCAUGCACGUCUUGACGGUACCUAAACAGAAAGCCCCGGCUAACUUCGUG
This 497-nucleotide ribosomal RNA is filed under the name uncultured bacterium. RNAcentral's name for it is "partial 16S ribosomal RNA". It matches the Rfam family "Bacterial small subunit ribosomal RNA", at positions 28 to 507 of the family's 1533-position model. The record is from RNAcentral.